GCCUCGGUGAUGUAGUGGUAGCACGCGUUCUCGGUAUGAAUUAAACGCGGGUUCGACUCCCGUCCGGGGUC
Parelaphostrongylus tenuis is the source of this 71-nucleotide non-coding RNA. NCBI's taxonomy places the organism in Eukaryota, Metazoa, Nematoda, Chromadorea, Rhabditida, Metastrongylidae. The record is from the annotation of a GenBank genome assembly.